GCUCAGUUGGUUGAGCACAAGGCUCUUAACCUUGUGGACGUGGGUUCAAGCCCCAU
Molecule: transfer RNA, 56 nt
Filed under: Triticum aestivum (bread wheat)
Lineage: Eukaryota; Viridiplantae; Streptophyta; Magnoliopsida; Poales; Poaceae
Also listed under: 1 other name
Rfam family: tRNA
About the family: Transfer RNA (tRNA) molecules are approximately 80 nucleotides in length. Their secondary structure includes four short double-helical elements and three loops (D, anti-codon, and T loops).
Source: Rfam by way of RNAcentral